GGCUCCCCCUGCCGAGGUGAGCGAGCCGCGCGGCGGGGCCGGGGCGGCGAGGGUGGUUCCGGCCGGGGCGGGCCGGUUCCCGCUGGAGAGGAGGGACCCCGUGCCGGGUUCGGCCCGGAGCGGCUGUCGAGCGGGGUCCGCGGGUCGAGCGUGGCGGCUUAAGGCGCGGGGCUUCCCCCUCCCCGCGCCCUCCGCCCGCCCCCGAGUCUCCCGAGGGCGAAGCAAGCGGCGGAUCGGGCGGCCCUUCUUCCCGAAGGGGGGCCGGAGUCCGAUCCGACGGCCGGGGUGGCAGGAGUGCCCCUUGCCGGGGACGCGUCAGCUGCAGCCCGGCCCAUUGGGGGGGUGGGGGUGGCGAGGGCGGCCAAGGACUCCGGCAGCGCCUGGGUGGAGGAGCAGGUGCCGGUCGGAGCCUCUGCCCGGUGCCCUCGGGUGGGCCCUCGGACCGUCUCCGCCCCCCCCCCGGCGCAGCCGUUCUCUCCUCCUCCUGCCCCACCGCAGCUGCUCCCCCGGUGGGGCCGGUUUGGGGUCCGCUCAGUUCCCGCCUUUCUCCCCCUGCCCCUCCCCCACAGCGGAGGCGAGGAGGCCCCUCGGGCUGAAUGAGGGGAUCCUGCCGGACGGAGCCCCCCCCAGGAGACGCCUUCGGUGCAGCCUGAGGAGCUGGUCCGGGCCUUUGUGCGGGUGCCUGUGUGAUUGUGCAGGGCAGAGGCAUAACUUCCCUCAGCUGCACCAAGAUCCCGAGAGAAGAGGCGUAAUGGAGGAGGCAGGAGGGCCGGGAGUCCAGCUAGCCGUGACUCAGCUUCCCUUGCAGGCUGCUUGCGCCGAGAGCCUCGUGCCGAGGCUCCCUUCCUGCCUUGGAGCGGAAUCCUGGCAAGAGGCGCCCAGGCCGCCAAGAACAGCAGGCCCACCCGGCCUCCCAAGAGGUGGGCUGCCUACCUGGUCCUGCCUGGCAAAAAAAGGGGGGUGGGGUGGAGAUAGGAAAGUAGCAGCAGCAACACCAGGUCCACAAGGGAGUGCAGGUACUCCUGGACUUACAACCACAACUGGGAUCGGAACAUCCGUUGCUAAGCAAGGUGGUUGUUAAGUGAACAUAUAACAUAGAAUAACAGAGUUGGAAGGGACCUUGGAGGUCUUCUAGUCCACCCCCUUGCUCAAGGAGGAGACUCUGUACCAUCCCAGUGAAAUGGUUGCCUGCUCUAUUCUUGAAAGCCUCCCAAGAUGGACCAAAUGUCCAUGAAGGUUCUUAGUCAUCCAGGUAAGAGUUGUUUGGAAGUUGAGUCGUGACAACUGGAUUUCUUCUUCUUUUGUUUGAAACAUUUCAGUCAGACUGAAGAAGAGAGUGAACUUUUUUACUCUUCCUGCAGAUCACCUUCCACGUAGGAAGAAGAGAAAGGAGAACAGCUGCAGCCUCACCAACUUGUUGCUAAAUUUCUAUACCAUGGUCUUGAUAUCAUGGAGCGCUGGAGCAAUGCUUCUCAAGGUGAGCAACUUUAAUAUGAGUGGACUUUGACUCCCAGAAUUCCCCAGCCAGCAAUUCGGGUGGGGAAUUCUGGGAGUUGAAAUCUCCUAAAGUUGGUAGGGUUGCAAAACACAGCACUGGAGGGAAGGUAAAGAUCACACUCAUUUGCAUUUCUUCAGCUUCAUUUUUAAAGAGUUUGUGGGGUCCCUGUCUUUGACAGGGAGGGGAGCACCAGCUGAGACCGGUGCUACCUUUGCUCUGGAAAGGUUGUACUCAAGCCUCCUUCCGGCUCCUGCAGCAGCAAGUUGUUGAGUGUUGGUUGCUGGCCGCUUAGAGGAACCAGGUAGGAAAACGCCACCCUCCCACCUCUGUUAAUUUUUACCCCGGCAGUAUGUCAGAGUGCCCAUUGCAUUCAUUUCUUGUCUGAGCAUGCAAGGGCUGGAAGUGCCCAGACAGGGCUGCAAAGUUGCCUUCCAAAGUGAGUCAUAAUUGGCGGCUCCAAGAAAUCACGUUUAGUUUCUGGAGGCCACCUUAGCUCCAAAUAACCGAAAGCAAUUAGGCUGAUCCAGGCAACCAGCAGCGGGGAAAAUCUCUUGAAUUUGCAAUCUUGACCCAGGAUGUAAAUUCCAGGAACUCAGCAGGAGUUACUUCAAGCAAGUCUUCUAUUUUAUUCUGUUUCUUGGGGGUUCUGCUUGAUCGCCUUGUGUUUCCACCAAAAGCAAGAAUCAAAAUAGCUAACAACUAAUAAAUGGUUUUAUGUAUAAAAACAAAACUAUUUUAAAACCACAAUUUAAAAAUAACUAACAGAGCAAGCCUAUUCUUGAUACUCUAUAAUUAAACAUUAUGGAAAGAUAUUCGAGGCUACACCUAUGAGGUGAAUUGGCAGCCAUUUUCUCAAACCAAGGAAAAUGGAGACCAAAUUCAAAGAUCAUUCUUUGGACAAUGGGCCCGAUCCAACAAAAUGCAGUUCACUGAUGAGAAAAGUAAGGCCCAGCACUUAGGCAAGACAACCAAAGAGGCAUAGAAGAGGCCAUACCUGGCUCAACAGUAGUAACUGUGAGAGGGAUCUAGCUGUCCUAGUGGAUAACCACUUAAGUAUGAACCAGCCGUGUGCAGCAGCCGCCAAAAAAGCCAAUGCAGUCCUAGGCUGCAUCAACAGAGAUCCCAUGAUGUAUUAGUACCGCUAUAUACUACACUGGUAAGACCACACUUUGAAUACUGUGUCCAGUUUUGGUCUCCAUGAUGCAGAAAAACAUGUUGAGACCCUGGAAAGUGUGCAGAGAAGAGCAACUAAGAGGUAAGAGGUCUGGAGGCCAAACCAUAGGAUGAGCGAUGGAGAGAGGUUUACUUAGAGAGCACUGUGAAGCAGUAUAUAAAUCUUAAGUGCUGUUGCUAUUUAGCUACAAAGCGUUGCAUGGAAACGACCACAGUGCCUGGGUUCACACAUUGCAGUACACAAUACAAAAAGCAUACAGGUAGUUCUUGACUUAUGAUCAUUCAUUUAGCAACCGUUCAAAGUUACAACGGCACUGCAAAAAGUGGCUUUUGACUGGUCCCUGCAGUGUCCCAAGGUUGCAUAGUCACACUUGGCCAUCUUCCCAGCUAGCUUUGGAGAAACCAGCAGGGAAGGUCACAAACUGUGAUUGUGUGAUGUCUCGCUUAGCAACCAGACUCACUUGCCCAAUGCCUGUGGCAAAAAAAGUUGUAAAAUGGGUCAUGUUGUAAGUCAAGGACUUCCGUAUGACAGCUUUGUGCAUUAUGCAAACCCAUCCACUGUUCUUCCCUUCCACUGUUACUUUCUGAAACUUCUUCCUUCUCUGAAGUAGGUUGCGGGAAAGGGACCACAGACUCUUGCCAGGUGUCUGAACAGAUCUCUGGCCAGAGGGCUCCGAUGCUGCCCUCAGAGCCAAAGUCUGCCUCUGCCCCAGGACCUCAGCCUCAGCUUGUUCCCCCCCCCCCAUCCUGGCUCCUGAAUCAGGGCAGUGCCAGCAUGUUCUCAGUCCCCGGGCACGGGGCCCAGAGGUGGAGGAGGCAUCGAUGUGCUGCAGAUGAAGCGCAAGAGGAGACUUUAGUCCUCCUCCAGAGGCCCACAAACACCUCUCGGAAAUGGCGACAGUCAGGAUUCUGUGGAGAUGGGCCAAGCUGCUCCUUCUCGGACAGCCUGGUGCAGGUUGUCUGCUUUUCUCAGACGGUUUUGCAUCUGUAAACUGCAAGAACCGGUGGGGAGCAAGCAGCUGCCUGGUCCCCAGGGGCCCCCACUGAGCAUGGGAGGAGAACAUCUGCGAGGGACCCUCCCAGGGAGGCCUUCUGACCUGAACCCAGAAUGAACUGCAUGCGCCUUCCACAACCAUAGAUGGCUUUGGAAAUGUGUCUAAAGAAAUCCACUGGGAAAUGGCCAGGAGAGCUUUCACAGAUUUAACAUGUGAAAAAAAAUGGAGGACGAGGAACCCGAAUCGGGACCAGACCAAAUUUUUCUUACUUGCAAGAUGUUACAAAAAUCGUGGCUUCUUCUACAUCGAUCCAUUUUGACAAGCUUUCUUUUUCGAUUUUUGUUUUGUUCCUGAAUCUCUUAUCAUUACCUCCUUACUCAAAAAAAUACAGACUUAUGACCGGUCGCUUAGCAACCAUCCAAAGUGACCCAAAAAGCUACUUAUGACCUUCCAGGGACCUCCCCCAUGGUCACAGGGUCGCGCUUUGGUGCUCAGCAACUGGCCAGCGUUUACGGCCAUUUGAAGUACUGUUUGGGAUGUUUUUGGUUUCCAGAAAAAAGCCCCCCUCCUGAGCCAUGGCUUCGCUUACCUACCAAGGGGUUCACUUAAUGACGGCUAUAUUCUGCCUAAUGUCCACUGCUGAAAAAAGCUCGUAAAACUGAGUGCAGUCACCUGGUGACCCACUUAAUGACCGUCACGAUUGAUGACUGAAAUUGCGGGCUCAGUUUUGGUCGUAAGAUGAGGAAUUCCUGUAACAGAUUUAUCACUUGCUGCAAACUCCCACAGAGUCUUUUGCCUCGUCGCCUCUGAAGAGCCCCUGCGAAAAUCCUUGCAUUUCAAAGUAAAUGUGCCCAGAACUGAAAGGCUGCUGCCUUUUUUACUGAUUUAUAAAAGUCCUGCUGAAAUCAGAAAAAAGCUGCAGAUUUUCAAAGGCUAAAUAGGUGGGAUAAGAGACUCCUGAGGCUGGGAAAUUUCAAACCAAGACCAGCUGACUGUGAUACUUUCUGACAUGCACGUUCCAGCACUAAAGGCCUCCAGGUCAUUCUCCACUCAAAAGGGUCUCUACCAUUUUUUACAUGCCUCAAUUCAAGCCGAGGGAUAAAAUGAGCUGCAUGUUUCUCCUUCUGUAUGACAGCACAAGGUCCAGUGAAUAAAUGCACACAAAGCUU
This is an RNA transcript of Crotalus tigris (Tiger rattlesnake), 4835 nucleotides long. RefSeq lists it as uncharacterized. The record is from RefSeq and is a predicted model, not a curated record. NCBI's taxonomy places the organism in Eukaryota, Metazoa, Chordata, Lepidosauria, Squamata, Viperidae. The transcript has 2 exons.